CGGAGGCAGCAGUGAGGAAUAUUGAGCAAUGGGCGCAAGCCUGACUCAGCAACGCCGCGUGGAUGACGAAGGCCUUCGGGUUGUAAAAUCCUUUUCUGGGGGGAGAUAAUGACGGUACCCCAGGAAUAAGUUCCGGCUAACUACGUGCCAGCAGCCGCGGUAAAACGUAGGGGACGAGCGUUAUCCGGAUUUACUGGGCGUAAAGCGCAUGUAGGUGGCUUGGCAAGUUGGACGUGAAAGCUCCCGGCUUAACUGGGAGAGGUCGUUCAAAACUGCCAAACUUGAGGUUGGAAGAGGAGAGCGGAAUUCCCGGUGUAGUGGUGGAAUGCGUAGAUAUCGGGAGGAACACCAGUGGCGAAAGCGGCUCUCUGGUUCAAUACUGACACUGAGAUGCGAAAGCGUGGGGAGCGAACGGGCUUAGAUACCCCGGUAGU
This 434-nucleotide ribosomal RNA is filed under the name uncultured bacterium. RNAcentral's name for it is "bacterial SSU rRNA". It matches the Rfam family "Bacterial small subunit ribosomal RNA", at positions 343 to 794 of the family's 1533-position model. The record is from RNAcentral.